This 253-nucleotide ribosomal RNA is filed under the name uncultured bacterium. Its description in RNAcentral is "partial 16S ribosomal RNA". It matches the Rfam family "Bacterial small subunit ribosomal RNA", at positions 524 to 776 of the family's 1533-position model. The record is from RNAcentral.
UACGUAGGGGGCAAGCGUUGUCCGGAUUUAUUGGGCGUAAAGCGCACGCAGGCGGUCUUUUACGUUCUGAGUGACAGGUGGGGGCUUAACUCCCACAGGUCUUGGAAAACGGAAAGACUUGAGGACGAGAGAGGGAUGCGGAAUUCCAGGUGGAGCGGUGAAAUGCGUAGAGAUCGGAAAGAACACCAACGGCGAAAGCACUCUGCUGGGCCGACACUGACACUGAGAGACGAAAGCUAGGGGAGCGAAUGGG